RNAcentral lists this ribosomal RNA (248 nucleotides) under uncultured soil bacterium. RNAcentral describes it as "partial 16S ribosomal RNA". It matches the Rfam family "Bacterial small subunit ribosomal RNA", at positions 26 to 278 of the family's 1533-position model. The record is from RNAcentral.
AGGACGAACGCUGGCGGCGUGCUUAACACAUGCAAGUCGAGCGGUAAGGCCUUUCGGGGUACACGAGCGGCGAACGGGUGAGUAACACGUGGGUGAUCUGCCCUGCACUCUGGGAUAAGCCUGGGAAACUGGGUCUAAUACCGGAUAUGACCUGCUCUCGCAUGGGGGUGGGUGGAAAGAUUUAUCGGUGCAGGAUGGGCCCGCGGCCUAUCAGCUUGUUGGUGGGGUAAUGGCCUACCAAGGCGACG